CACUUGGAGGGCAAGUCUGGUGCCAGCAGCCGCGGUAAUUCCAGCUCCAAUAGCGUAUAUUAAAGUUGUUGCAGUUAAAAAGCUCGUAGUUGAAUUUCGGGGUUCUAUCGUUGGUCGGGCUAUUGUCUGUACUGGCGUGUAGAAUUUCUACCUUCUGGGAACUAUCAUGUUAUUAAUUUAGCGUGUAGGAAACCAGGACCUUUACCUUGAAAAAUUAGAGUGUUCAAAGCAGGCUUAUGUCUGAAUACAUUAGCAUGGAAUAAUAAAAUAGGACGGUGGUCCUGUUUUGUUGGGUUUCUGAAUCACCGUAAUGAUUAAUAGGGAUAGUUGGGGGCAUUAGUAUUCAAUUUGUCAGAGGUGAAAUUCUUGGAUUUAUUGAAGACUAACUACUGCGAAAGCAUUUGCCAAGGAUGUUUUCAUUAAUCAAGAACGAAAGUUAGGGGAUCGAAGACGAUCAGAUACCGUCGUAGUCUUAACCAUAAACUAUGCCGACUAGGGAUCGGACGAUGUUAACUUUUCUUGACUCGUUCGGCGCCUUACG
This 541-nucleotide ribosomal RNA is filed under the name uncultured Scutellospora. RNAcentral's name for it is "SSU rRNA". It matches the Rfam family "Eukaryotic small subunit ribosomal RNA", at positions 545 to 1092 of the family's 1831-position model. The record is from RNAcentral. Lineage: Eukaryota; Fungi; Glomeromycota; Glomeromycetes; Diversisporales; Gigasporaceae.